UGAGGAAUAUUGGUCAAUGGACGGAAGUCUGAACCAGCCAUGCCGCGUGCAGGAAGAAUGCGCUAUGCGUUGUAAACUGCUUUUGUAUCAGGGUAAAUUUAGAUACGUGUAUCUAAUUGAAAGUAUGAUACGAAUAAGGAUCGGCUAACUCCGUGCCAGCAGCCGCGGUAAUACGGAGGAUUCGAGCGUUAUCCGGAUUUAUUGGGUUUAAAGGGUGCGUAGGCGGAUUUUUAAGUCAGUCGUUAAAUCGUGUGGCUCAACCACAUCAAGGCGAUUGAUACUGGAGAUCUAGAGAUUAUGUGCAGCGGGCGGAAUGAGUAGUGUAGCGGUGAAAUGCUUAGAUAUUACUCAGAACCCCGAUUGCGAAGGCAGCUCGCUAACAUAUAUCUGACGCUGAGGCACGAAAGCGUGGGGAUCAAACA
RNAcentral lists this ribosomal RNA (422 nucleotides) under uncultured Bacteroidota bacterium. Its description in RNAcentral is "uncultured Bacteroidetes bacterium partial 16S ribosomal RNA". It matches the Rfam family "Bacterial small subunit ribosomal RNA", at positions 355 to 774 of the family's 1533-position model. Lineage: Bacteria; Pseudomonadati; Bacteroidota. The record is from RNAcentral.